Long non-coding RNA from Bos taurus (domestic cattle), 703 nucleotides. Lineage: Eukaryota; Metazoa; Chordata; Mammalia; Artiodactyla; Bovidae. The record is from Ensembl.
CUCUGUCCACUCACCUUCAGCUGGGGUCAGUACGAGACCUCCUCAGUGAAGAAGAGAGUGUUGGUUUCCUUAGCAAGAUGCAGAGCACUUGAAAGAGACAAAAUUGAUGGAGCCAAGUUUUGGAGAGUUACAUCAAGAGAUGAUGAGAUCAGAUACUGAAACCCCAGCAGGUGGAGGAAGUUAAACACAUGAUGACCAGACAGUAGCCGUGACAUAAGCUGCCACAAUUCUGAGAAUUGGCCUCAAGGAAAUGGAAACAAACCGGCCCUGGAACUGAAGACUAAUUGUACUUAAAACAAUCACCACAUGACCAACUUUAAGAAGACUGGCGGAGCUGACUGUGUCUGCAUGAAGCCCCCUCUGUCUAUAAAAGCUCUUGCCCACUGCUUGUCAGUGGGGGGUGUCAGCCUUUGGACUAGAGUCUGCCCUUUCCCCCACCUCAGUUGCCAGCAUCUGAAAUAAAGUAAACUUACCUUUCCACAAAACUUGUCUUGCUAUUGGCUUUUGAGGGGUGAGUAGCCAGACCUCCACUUUUGGUUACACUUCCUACAGGGGCAGCCUUGGAAAGGAGGCAGGACAGAGGUUCAGGAAGGCAAAUGAAGGAGAGAAGGGCUCUUCAAUCUUCGUCCUUCAACAGUAACAACUGACAUGGACAGAGGACUGUCUUUUGCCAGACACCAUCCUGAGAGCCUUAACAUGUAAC